Trifolium pratense (red clover) is the source of this 942-nucleotide long non-coding RNA. RefSeq lists it as uncharacterized. The record is from RefSeq and is a predicted model, not a curated record. NCBI's taxonomy places the organism in Eukaryota, Viridiplantae, Streptophyta, Magnoliopsida, Fabales, Fabaceae. The transcript has 4 exons.
ACUUUUGAUAUAAGCGCUAUGGUUAAUGAAAUAAAUAAAAAAUAAUUUGUGGUUGGUGGGUGUCGAACCAUUGACCCAUUGGUUGAUGAAUAAAAAAAGGAAAUAGAGAUAAAAAUUAAAAAACUAAAAACAUUCCCCAUUGUUCUUCUACUCACCUACAUAGUUCCUUCUACCCUUCUCCAUAGUCCCAUCGCUCCUCUUCUCCAUUGUUCCUCCACUCUCACAGCAAAAUCUCAUCAAACCCUAAAUCGUUACACUCUUGUUUAACCUCCAUCUCCGUUGAACCCUAAAUCUCGUGAUUUCUCUCUCAAACCAACACCUCACUAUCGAACCCUAAUUUCUUGCUCUCAACAUCUUUGUUGUUCUCACCUCCUUCUUAUACUUCUUUUAUGUGUGUUUCAGGUUAUUGCAAGAAAGGUCGAGAAUCAAUAUACCUCGAAGGGAAAUUCUCAAUGUAACAACCGUUAUAUCUCCACAUUUUCUAUACUUUUCGCCCCUGGACCUGUACAAGGAUAUACUAGUUGGUGCAUUUGAAAGGGUUAUUAUGGUGUGACUUUGAAAUUGAAAUAUAGGCCAUUGUAAUAAGCUUACAUUGUUCCUCGAAACCUAUUGGACCAUAUGUAUGGAGGACAUAUAAGAAAGCUUUUGACGAAGUUUUGCAAAUCUAUUCUGCUAUAAGAGCUUCUGGUGUUGAACAUAUAUUUAGCUGACGGUUUUAGCCCUUGAUGUUGGAUCACUUGUAAGUCCCCUGGCAGGGUGUUUUUCUGGUGGUGUUUGCGGCUGCUUUUGUCCUCUUGCUAUGUGCGGCGGCUUUGCGUUUUUGCUGUUAGUUAUGUUGAGUUGUAAUGUCGUGUAUAUAUAGAUAGGAUCGAUCAUUAUAUAUUGUUUAUGAAUUGUUUAUGAGAUGUGUAUAACUAGUUUUUGGAUCAAUACAAAUGAUUG